GGCCACUGGAGGACAAAGGGCCCGAUUCCGGAGAUAUGGGGCUAGCCCUCAGCCAACCAGGUCCAGCUUCAUUUGCAUGCAGUCAGGCCAUUGGGUUAUGCAAAUUAGCAGACGUUGACACCCAGACCCUCGCUCCACCAAAGCAAGGCAGAGUUGAGCGGAAAGGGGCGGAGCUACGCGGGAGGGAGCCCACGGGACGAAGGUGGUGCUGAAACCCGGUUGGUGGGGUCCUGAGCCAGCUCUAGGUAGUUUGUGGAGCCUUCUGGUGCGGAGGGCUUUGCAGUGGUUCAAGUGUCCUCAGCUCUGACUGAAACAGCCUGCCAAUUGUUUUUCUGGUUGUGGACAUCUUUUGAUUGUCGUUUCGUGCCCUUUGUGUUAAGGGGCUGCUUUUUAAAUUUUACUUCCAGGGAUUAAUGCACUCCAGUCUAGCUGUUGUUAGUAAGCAUAUUUUUAAGUGUCCAGACAUGCCGGGCAAAGCUUGCUUCAGUGUUUAUAUGCAAGUUUCAGGUAAACCUGCUUAUUCCCAGUAGUAGUCUUUUGGUGCCCUGAUGGCUGGUUUGAUUUGGUUUUGGUUGGUUGUGAGAAUUUGAAACUCCAGGGAG
RNAcentral lists this long non-coding RNA (602 nucleotides) under Mus musculus (house mouse). RNAcentral describes it as "long non-coding RNA chr6:67037399-67038001". Lineage: Eukaryota; Metazoa; Chordata; Mammalia; Rodentia; Muridae. The record is from RNAcentral.